Spinacia oleracea (spinach) is the source of this 1370-nucleotide long non-coding RNA. RefSeq lists it as uncharacterized. Lineage: Eukaryota; Viridiplantae; Streptophyta; Magnoliopsida; Caryophyllales; Amaranthaceae. The transcript is spliced from 2 exons. The record is from RefSeq and is a predicted model, not a curated record.
UUUCUGCUUGGGCCUCCCCAGAUUCCAAAUCAAUCGAUUUCAAGCACCAUUCAAGCACGCCGUUCUUUGAAAGACCCAUUGUUGGACCGACUUCCAGCAGAAAGUGGUUGGACUUGAGCAUUUCCUGGAGCUGUUCAAAGGUCGCUGCAUCAUUCUGGAAACACAGGUGUUUGUUAAGCUUAGGAAACGUUUUCCAGCCUAUGUAUGGUAGAAGAAACAACUGACACCGAAGGAUUAAUAAAGGCAACACAAACUGCAAUAAGCUCCUAAUUUCAUAUGCAAGUAUAUGGCUGAUUGUUUAAUAAGUUAUCUACCUACUAAGUUUUUGAUAGUCCACUGUAAGAAUUUAAAUGUCAUCAGGGAAGUGUGUAUAACAAGUUCGAAUGCCCUUUGUGUGGUCUCUGUUUGUCUUUCAUUUCUUAUGUAAUUUGCAGUUUUAACCUGAUAAAUUUAAAGUUGAUUUUUUACAGUGGUCGCCUAAUUUUAUAACAAUGUGCAGUGUUGCGUUCUUUUCUUUCUAAAUUUGUAUAUGUGUACAUUCUAAUGGGUUUUGCAACAUUCUUCCAUGGUUGACUUGUUAGUCUAAGGGAGAUAGGCUUACGCUGUUCUUCAUCCUGAACGUGUCUGCAGCCGUCAUCCUGAACAACUUUUCAGAAUCUUCAGUGAACGAGGUGCAUUCCAUUGUGCCAGUCCCAUCAGAUGCCACGAAAUUGUAGUUUGCAGCUUACUUUGGAGUAGACACGGUAUCUGCCUUACAUCUGGUGCAAGUGUAGGAUGUCCCUGCUGGAAUGUCUCCACGCCGUCCACAAGCAGAGCACCCCAGGUAUGCAUUGAUCGUGCUCAUUUGAGGGUUGGGUAUUGUAACCCUGAGCCAAUGGCGUUGCUCUUGCAAGGUGUUGUAAGGCUAGGGAAAAAAUCCGACAGGUUCACAAGUCAGGCACACUUCUUUAUAUUCUGAAGUGCAUCUACAUUACCGGAACAAUAAGACAUACAUUAUUUGUGUAUCACUUUUUCGCAUAUGAGUGUGGGUUUCCAACAGGUUUAAGCUCAGUUACCCCGGGCCACUUUCUUGAGGCCGUCACUUUUUCGCAUAUGAUCGCUUUAUUAUGAAGCAACAUUAUAACAGCUCUAAUCAGACAAAAACUACCUGUGUAUUCUGUUCUCACUGAAUGUAAAGUUAGCGUAGUUGAUUGGAUGGUAUUUUGUCGUUACUUAGUUUAGCAGUUAUGCAAUGCAAUAUAGUUUAGGUUAUGCAAUGCAAUGUAAACACAAUGAUGAUGUUGUAGCAGUCCUUAAAUUCCCUAUCUAUUUUUAGUAGCUAUGCAACGCAAUUUAGUUUAGGCUAUGUAAUAUCUUUGAUGUUCCUUCCA